CUAUGCUAUCAGAGGCCAUAUGAGGACAGGAAAACGUUGUUUGGUUGUUCAAACCAGGUCGGAGCUUAAAACCUGAGUGGUAUCACUCGACACCGCUGCUUGAUUGCGGAUUUCUGAGCCUUAAAUUCUGACUGUAUUACACGUUAGAUCACUCACCGAGGCUUUUAUAAGCUAUCGAUAGCUGUACGAGAACAGGAAAACGUCGUACGGUUGUUGCAACUUGAUCGGAGCUUAAAACCUGAGGGGUAUCAUUCGUAACUGCUGCUUGACUGCAGGGUUUUGAGCGCUAAAUUCUAAGUGUAUUACACGUUAAAUCACUCACUGAGGCUUUUAUAAGCUAUCGAAAGCUGUACGAGAACAGGAAAACGUCGUACGGUUGUUGCAACUUGAUCGGAGCUUAAAACCUGAGGGGUAUCAUUCGUAACUGCUGCUUGACUGCAGGGUUUUGAGCGCUAAAUUCUAAGUGUAUUACACGUUAAAUCACUCACUGAGGCUUUUAUAAGCUAUCGAAAGCUGUACGAGAACAGGAAAACGUCGUACGGUUGUUGCAACUUGAUCGGAGCUUAAAACCUGAGGGGUAUCAUUCGUAACUGCUGCUUGACUGCAGGGUUUUGAGCGCUAAAUUCUAAGUGUAUUACACGUUAAAUCACUCACUGAGGCUUUUAUAAGCUAUCGAUAGCUGUACGAGAACAGGAAAACGUCGUACGGUUGUUGCAACUUGAUCGGAGCUUAAAACCUGAGGGGUAUCAUUCGUAACUGCUGCUUGACUGCAGGGUUUUGAGCGCUAAAUUCUAACUGUAUCACACGUUAAAUCACUCACUGAGGCUUUUAUAAGCUAUCGAUAGCUGUACGAGAACAGGAAAACGUCGUACGGUUGUUGCAACUUGAUCGGAGCUUAAAACCUGAGGGGUAUCAUUCGUAACUGCUGCUUGACUGCAGGGUUUUGAGCGCUAAAUUCUAACUGUAUCACACGAUAAAUCACUCACUGAGGCUUGUAUAAGCUAUAGAAACUUGCACGAGAACAGGAAAACGUCGUUCGGCUGUUGUAAUUUGGUCGGCGCUUAAAACCUGAGGGGUAUCAUUCGUAACUGCUACUUCACCGCAGGGGUUUGAGCCCUAAAUUCUAACUGUAUCACACGUUAAAUCACUCACUGAGGCUAUUUAUAAGCUAUCGAAGACUAUAUGAGAACAGAUAUACGUUUUUUGAUUGUCCAAAUUUGAUCGGAGUAUCAUUCGGCACUGUUGCCUGUAAAUCUUCCGAAAUUGAACUUAUUUAACGGAUUUCACCACAGCUGAAACAGGGCGCGAAUGUUUCACUAAAAAUUCGGGAGUACAAACAUCAAGGAACUAAAAUUACUUACCUCCAUGUGGUAAUUAGCAUGGAACAAGAAGCACAACACACACACGUCCACCUACGACAGCGCGAAACCGACGACUGAGAACAAUUGAUGUCUUCAUGCGCUGACCAGGGCACUACAUUCAUAGCCACCGCCGCCGAGGCGUACGAACACAACGAAUGAUACCCCUCAGGAUCUAGCCUGCAGGGUUUUGAGCGCUAAAUUCUAACUGUAUCACACGAUAAAUCACUCACUGAGGCUUGUAUAAGCUAUAGAAACUUGCACGAGAACAGGAAAACGUCGUUCGGCUGUUGUAAUUUGGUCGGCGCUUAAAACCUGAGGGGUAUCAUUCGUAACUGCUACUUCACCGCAGGGGUUUGAGCCCUAAAUUCUAACUGUAUCACACGUUAAAUCACUCACUGAGGCUAUUUAUAAGCUAUCGAAGACUAUAUGAGAACAGAUAUACGUUUUUUGAUUGUCCAAAUUUGAUCGGAGUAUCAUUCGGCACUGUUGCCUGUAAAUCUUCCGAAAUUGAACUUAUUUAACGGAUUUCACCACAGCUGAAACAGGGCGCGAAUGUUUCACUAAAAAUUCGGGAGUACAAACAUCAAGGAACUAAAAUUACUUACCUCCAUGUGGUAAUUAGCAUGGAACAAGAAGCACAACACACACACGUCCACCUACGACAGCGCGAAACCGACGACUGAGAACAAUUGAUGUCUUCAUGCGCUGACCAGGGCACUACAUUCAUAGCCACCGCCGCCGAGGCGUACGAACACAACGAAUGAUACCCCUCAGGAUCUAGCGCCUCCCGUGAGACGGUCGCCUACUGCAACAAUGCAACUGCAUGCUUAAUUGUUUUAGCAUUGGUUGCGUGCGCGUGAGGUAUCUUCACGCCUUCUUCGCUCGGCGACCAAUGAUAGCUUGCAAGCGAAGUAAUGCACGCAUUACUUCAUCGAGAAUAGCUCCCCAGGUCUGUGUUGUAUUCCCAUCCUGCACUUACAACACUUUGUUCACUUCGACCAACACCGUGUCACCGUCCUGCACCUUCCCUCGAAUGUCGCACGUGGCCCUACACUCCGAGCACUCGGCCUCGUGUUCAACUGAGAUGCAACGAGAAGAUAAACUUGAAAGGCUGCACACGUUAAUACUGAAGCCAGUAUGAGAAGGAUGGAACCUGUUCUGAGCGGGACACAAAAGAAGAUAAUCCAGAGGCCAACCUUUCAGUGAGAAGACUUGACAAGCAACAACCUUAUGACAAAGUUAGAAACACUAAAUAAGUCAUGAAACAAGUGCAUCUCUAAAUCUCGUAAUUAACCAUUGCAGUUGAGCUCAGAUUUGCGAACAGGACGAAAAUUUUGGGAGGGCCUUAUUCACUGUGUGAAUGACUUCACUGGAGUAACCCAAAGCAGAACGUCAACAUUGCAUAACAUGUGGGACUCAGUCUUAAGUAAGUUACUUCUAAAACGUAUAGUAACUAAGUUACAGCUAUAGUUACUUUCUUGGUCGAGUAACUAGUUACAAUUACUGAGAGAAAAUAACUUAGUGACAUGACAGUUACUUUUUAUAAAAAUGAUGACCAUGAGAGGGUGAUACAAUUGUUAAAAACAUACAUUUAUUUACAUUUACUGAAGUGCGAUAAAAGUUGUCUGGCACUUAACGAGAAGCAUAUAAGGUAAUACGCGGUUAUCCCACACGGAAAAAUACGACAUGUGCAUGCAACUUGGCGCAUCGCGGUGAAGAAGAAGAGCACGGUGACACGCACGCGUUUCGUACCGUGUAGAGAGACAUACACAAGAACAAGGAACUCUCCUCAAGAUGCUUUUUCAGGUUUGAAGUUGACGUCCUGUUUGCCGGUACGUCUUAUUCCAUAGCGUGCACAUUGCAAUUAAAUUAUUCUCGUCCUUCCGUGAUAAAAACUCAAAGGUUGCUUCACAUAGCAGCCACGGAAGCUUAGGAUAGCAACAACCGGGGCCGGAAUAGCCAUUGCACUGGUCGGAGUGUAAGUGAGCUGACCGGAAAGUUUCUCUUUGUGUAUAAUCAUUCCUUUGUCCAUAUCCACCGAAGGCAGGAUCCCAUGCAAGGGCAGUGACACUGUUAUUUACAUAUGACUCACUCCGAACGUUGAGGGUCACUAACUUCAAGGAAUUUCUGUUCGCAAAGUUGGAAUUCCCUGCUUGGUCAAGAUCUCAAGGCAGGGGGCACAUACCAAUUACGGAUAAAAGGAAGGAAGACACUGUUAGGGGGAAGUAGGGGAAGGUAGGGGGGAAAAAGGAACGACAUUUAUUCGAGUAUCUAGUUACAUUUUGCAGUUACAUUCACAGAAAUAGUAACUAGUUACAGUUAAAAGCUACUUCUCUGGAAAUGUAACUAGUUACUGUAACUAAUUACCCCCAAAAGUAACUAGUUACAGUUACAAGUUAAAAGUAACUUAGUUACUACCCAAUACUGGAUCAAGUCAUGCCUGCCAAAUACUGAUUACACUUGGUAUAAUUCUAUAACUGUAUUGGUUAUGUGUAGUAUAGCGAGCUAUCUUUAAUAUGACCGUAACCGUUUCCGUGAAGGGAUGAUUGCCAUAUUUGCAUCGCCCCUGGCCGCGGAAUGUCGAACGUCGUGUCUUUCCCCCAGUAAACAUGACACUUUUCAGACUGGCACGUUGCGUGGGAAAGUAGCAAGAGAAGAUUUGAAGAAGAAUGCAGAAAGAGUGAAGUCACAUUGUACUCAUUACCAGACCUCAAACAUUUGCAUAACCUUGAAACUGACUAUCUCCCCCAAUGAGCAUGACAGUCGCCCGCAGGUGGCUGCACAUGCCCAUACGCUUACUCGGAAAAGGUCCAGUUUGGUCAAAAAGUGGAUUACCAUACUAACCAACAGCAUACGUCACAAACACCUAGUGCAGCACCUUUGUGUCACGGAGCGAUGACUAACAUAACUGCUUUUUGUUGCUUGUCAUCCGGUUCGUUGUAACGUUUAUUCAAUUCUGUCUGAAAUCAGCCCGGCAGCUUAGGUCUGCAUCACUCUUGAUUAUCUCAAGAUAAGGAGCACAUCUGUAGGUCAGGAAAACGACGCAUUCAACAGCUAGCAGUUACAUUAAUGAGGGAAAAGUAGACAUAUUUUCCUAUAUUCCUCUAGAAAACAUCGGUCAUAGAUACAGGAAUGGUCAUAAUUAAGCAGAAGGAUUUACGCAGCAAAGGAAUGGUUCCCAUGGGAAGUGGUCAUAAACCGUGCAUGUCAUAAUCACAAGUGUCAUUAGCAACCCGAGAAUGCAUGACAGAGUAAAUAUUUUUAAUAUUUAUUAUCAUACAAGUGCCACUUUUCCAGUCGACGGGGUCGUCUUAUUAAUUGGACCAUGUAUGGUGUCAUUUUUAGGGAUCCAUGUUGUCCACAUCGACUGACAGCAGGUUACAUCGACUGGUGUAUAUUGUCAGAUUUUCCUUUUUUCAGAGAGCAUUUGUCUGUACUUUCCUUUUUUGUAACUUUUGUACCUUUCUGUAAUAUAAAGUUUACAAAACCAA
Long non-coding RNA from Ornithodoros turicata, 4852 nucleotides. RefSeq lists it as uncharacterized. The transcript is spliced from 2 exons. Lineage: Eukaryota; Metazoa; Arthropoda; Arachnida; Ixodida; Argasidae. The record is from RefSeq and is a predicted model, not a curated record.